CUGAGGAACCUGAGGCAAACAGAAGUUACAUUACUUAUCCAGGGUCACACAACAAGUGACUGAAGGUGGAUACAAACUCAGACUUAUCCUGACUCCAGCCCCAGUGAGCUACCUAGUUGCUUUUUAAAAAGAAUGGAUCAAUUUAGUCUUUAAAUUGGAAGAAAAUUCACAAGAACUGAAGCAUGACUCAACCAAGUCCAACCAGACCUGCAGAGAGGAUCCCAGGUGCCAAGUGGUGCCUUGCUUUUCAGCCAAGGACAAGGAAAUUACUCCCUUUGAUCUUGGCCUCUAUGAGAAGGAAAUUCCUGGCCUUCAGCCCUGUGGCAUCACAGGGCACCCUUGGAACUUGGAGAUCAAUGGAAGUUAUGGAAUGUUGGAAUGAAGAUAAGCCAAACUGCUAAUUUCUUGUUCAUUCUCAUUAACAAAUAAGCAAAAUAAAAGUUUUUAUCAUGGAGCAAAAUUUAAACUGCUGUCAUUUUCCUUCCAAUGAGAAGCCAGAGGAAAAUUAAAUUUAAAAAAAAUUUGAAGAACCAUAUUCAGUAAAUACAAGCCUUGGACUUGUUAUUAGAAUUCAACCCCUGUCUCUUAGUGAACUGCAUGAUCUUGAAUAAAUCCCCUUUGAGCAUCUGUUUCUUCAAAUCCAGAAUGGGAAUAUUAAUGAUACUUAUGGCAGGACAGCAACUCCAAAGAAAUUAUAAUGAUAAUAAUCAAAGAAAGAGAUCAUGUCAGAGUGGCUGGACAGCAGUCCUAAAGCCAAAAAGGUUAUAUGAUAUGGGUUAUCAUGUGCUAUCAUGUAAAACAUAUUUCCAUAUUUGUCAUCUUGUUAAUGAAGAUACAUAUUUGUUUAUACAAUAAAAAAAUCAUGAAGGAAAUAACGUGGAAAAUGGUAUGCUUCCAUCCUCAUUCAGGCUCUCAGUUCCUUCUAUAGCAAUGGAUAGCUUUUUCUAUCAUGAGUCCAUUGGAGGUCUUGGAUCCUUGCCUUGGUGAUAAUGAUUAAGUCUGUUACAGUUGAUGAAUUGAACAUUUUUGCUGUUACUGUGUAUAACAUUCUUAUGGUUCUGCUCACUUUGCAUCACUUCAUGUAAGUCUUUCCAGGUUUUUUUGUAAUAAUCUUGUUUGUCACUUCAUGUAGUGAUAUAACAUCUCAUUACAAGCAUAUAGCACCACUUGUUCAACCCUUUCCCAACUGAUCAACAUCACUUCAGUUUCCAGGGGUAUUUUGCCGCCACAAAAAGAGCUGUGAUAAAUAUAUUUUUAUAACUAUUAUCUUCUUAGAAUUAUAAAUGUGUAUUGGUUCCAAGGUGUAAGAGUGGUAAAGACUAUCUAUGCAGUGGGGAUUAAGUGACUUGCCAAGAUUCACACAACUAGGAAGUAUCUAAGGUCAUAUUUCAACCCAGAAUCUAUGUUUGGCUCUCAAUCCACUAAGCCACCUUGCUUUUCCUUGUUAUUAAUAUUUUUAUACAAAUAGGUAUUUUCUCCCAUCUUUGAUGUGCUUGGGAUAUAGACUUAGUAGAAAUAUUGCUGGAUCAAAGGGUAUGCAUAGUUUUAUGGUCCUCUGAAAAAAAUUUUUUUUCCAGAAUGGCUAUAGUAGUUCACAGUUCCACCAUCACUGUAUUAGUGUCUCAAUUAUCCCAUAUCAUCCACCCCCAACAUUUAACAUUUUCCUUUCUUGUCAUAUUAGGAAGUGUUAUUGGUGUGAGGUGGCAUUUCAAAGUUGUUAUAAUGUGCAUUUCUCCAAUUAAUAGUAAAUAAUUUGAAACAUGUUUUUCAUAUGACUAGAUAUUGUUUAAUUUCUUCAUUGGAGAACUAUCUGUUCAUAUCCUUAGGCCAUUUAUCAAUUAAGGAAUGACUUAUA
Monodelphis domestica (gray short-tailed opossum) is the source of this 1855-nucleotide long non-coding RNA. Lineage: Eukaryota; Metazoa; Chordata; Mammalia; Didelphimorphia; Didelphidae. The record is from Ensembl.